This 65-nucleotide transfer RNA is filed under the name Goniodes dissimilis (brown chicken louse). Its description in RNAcentral is "tRNA-Trp". The record is from RNAcentral. Lineage: Eukaryota; Metazoa; Arthropoda; Insecta; Psocodea; Philopteridae.
GGAGAAGUAGGUUAGGUAAGACUAUUGUCGUUCAAUUACGAAGGGGUGAUGUUUCACCUUCUCCA